This 1070-nucleotide long non-coding RNA is filed under the name Setaria viridis. RNAcentral's name for it is "long non-coding RNA (SVIR_LNC010367)". Lineage: Eukaryota; Viridiplantae; Streptophyta; Magnoliopsida; Poales; Poaceae. The record is from RNAcentral.
AUUUGACUAUGAAGUGCUCGGGGGCUUGUCGGGGAUAGAUCCCCAGUACCCGCAAGGAAGGAAGAAGACGAACUCCUACUAGGAUUCUUUUGUAAUCCUACUAGGAUUCAUACCAUGUAAUCCUACUAGGACUCCUACCUUGUAACCGACUAGUAAUCCUGCCCUCUGGAGUAUAUAAAGGAGGGCAGGGGUCCUUGAUCAGUAGGUGAAGACCUCAUAGAACUACAAUAGAGGACCAAAUCCUCAGCACCAAACAAUACCAAAGCACAGGGCACAAUAUACAACACCCCAAACAGGACGUUGGGUAUUACACUACUCUGGUGGCCUGAACCUGUAUAAAUCCGUAUCUUGUGUCUUUGCUUUUACCUUCGAGUUGUAGGUCUAACAAUUUCCCACAAGCCAAUCUACUAUCUCGGGAUACCCCUCGGUAGGUUGCCGAGUAUAAAACACCGACACUGUAUUCUACAAGUGUCACUUUGGUUAUGUUGCCUUAUGUUUGUGAACAUUGUACCGAUGAUGUAUUAUGCAAGUGUCACUUUGCCAAUCUCAAUGCAUGAUUUCAUUUUGUUGUUUCCAAGAGUGCCACAUCAACAAAAUAAAAAUGAAACCAUGGAUGAAACUCUGGGUCUAUUUGGUUGUCUUGCCCAAAUUUGCCCACUAGCCUUGCUUGCCAAGAUUUGGCGAGGAAAUCCUUGCUAGGUGGGGAGAGCCAAUUUGGCUCUAUGUGCAUUUAAGGAUUGUUGACAUGGAUCCCCUUCCACCACUGGUACUCACCAUCACCCGCCCCGUGCUGCUCCAUCUUCAUGUAGACAUGGUUAUUUGCACUUAAAACCAAUUUCUGCUCUUCCCCUAUUUAAUCCCCAAUGUGUGGUUGUCAUGCUCCCAUAAAUCUUGUGUAAAUAUAAGCAGAACAAAUAAAUCUUGUGUAAACAGACUAACUAUCUUGCAUAAACUCUUUAUUUCUUCUGUUCUCGUGUCUCUCCUUUCCUCUCCCUCACCCUUUCUCUCUUCCUUGGUUCUCAUGUAGACAUAGUUACUUGCACUUGAAAUUAAGUUAUGCUCUUCCUUCA